This 482-nucleotide ribosomal RNA is filed under the name uncultured bacterium. RNAcentral's name for it is "partial 16S ribosomal RNA". It matches the Rfam family "Bacterial small subunit ribosomal RNA", at positions 30 to 507 of the family's 1533-position model. The record is from RNAcentral.
AUUGAACGCUGGCGGCAUGCUUUACACAUGCCAGUCGAACGGUAACAGGCCGCAAGGUGCUGACGAGUGGCGAACGGGUGAGUAAUGCAUCGGAACGUGCCCAGUCGUGGGGGAUAACUACUCGAAAGAGUAGCUAAUACCGCAUACGAUCUAUGGAUGAAAGCGGGGGACCGUAAGGCCUCGCGCGAUUGGAGCGCCCGAUGUCAGAUUAGGUAGUUGGUGGGGUAAAGGCUCACCAAGCCAACGAUCUGUAGCUGGUCUGAGAGGACGACCAGCCACACUGGGACUGAGACACGGCCCAGACUCCUACGGGAGGCAGCAGUGGGGAAUUUUGGACAAUGGGCGCAAGCCUGAUCCAGCAAUGCCGCGUGCAGGAAGAAGGCCUUCGGGUUGUAAACUGCUUUUGUACGGAACGAAACGGCUCUGGUUAAUACCCGGGGCUAAUGACGGUACCGUAAGGAUAAGCACCGGCUAACUACGUG